CUAUGCUUCAAGUUUUUUACGAAAUUUAACUCUUUGAAUUCAACAUCGGCCUGUAUAGAAACAAAAACAGUAUCGAACCGUCAGCCGCUUCAGAUGAAAUACUAACAAUCGGACAGAGCGGAGUCUAGUUUUAAGGUUGAUUCUGUUUGAAAGUAUACCAAAUUCCAUUCAAAAGGAAAAAAAUCACGAAAACAAAAUAAUUACAGGAAGUUAUCGUUUUAAUGAUGUCAAACACUAGUCCAGUCUUACAAAGCCACAUAGGUGGAGAUGGUUACUUGAAAUACAUCCCGGUAGUGUUGCUAUGUAUUGGCAUUUUGGUGGGAAUCGCAGUAUGUAUAAAAUACAGACGAAGACUUGUAGAGGGUGUGAGGGAGAGGACCCUUAUCUUAAAUCGAUUAUCAGGUCACAGAUAUGACAAUACCCGAAUGUAGCCAAAAUAUUUGAAACAAACAUACUGAGAUGCAGUCUUGCAAUGCAGGAAACCUAUCGCAUUACGUAUAGCUUUGAAUCACUUUCCUUUGAAAAGAAGCAUGAAGAAUGAAGAGUCACAUCAACCAUUGUAUUACAAUGUCUAUUAUAAUAUUUAUAUUUGUUAUCAUGUUUUUAAAUAUUAGCAUAAUUUUAUUAUUGAAACAAAGCAGACCGAUGAACAAUAAUAUUACAAAAAAUCAAUUUUAGAAAAAAAUUCAAAAAUUUAAUAAGGUUUUUCUUUUCUAACCAACUAUUAAUGUUUACAUUUUUCAAUGUCUUUUUCUGUGAUAACACUACGAAUUGAUUCUUAAAUGUACAGUCCAAUAUAUUAAAACGGCGUACAGUAGGGGAACAAAGGGGGUUUGCAUAAUUACAAGUAACAAAAAUAAAAAUGGCUUAUAAACUUUUUCUACAUUCUUAUGAUUUAUCGUACAGCUGCUCGAAUUAUAUAAUUAUAAGAAAUCUGUCUUAAAAUAUUAAGAGAUGAUAAUUUCGGUCGGAGCGUGGUUUAUUCUACAAUUCAGACCGUGGGUUUUAUCAGAUAUGACCACGCUCCAAUCGAGAUUAUCGCCUCAUAAUACUCAUAACAUGGUUCCUUAUUCAUCCAAUAACAAUAAUUUUUCAUACAUGUACAUUCAUACACAGUACACUCAUAUUCGACAAUUU
Molecule: long non-coding RNA, 1137 nt
Organism: Magallana angulata
Lineage: Eukaryota; Metazoa; Mollusca; Bivalvia; Ostreida; Ostreidae
Exons: 6
Source: RefSeq, a predicted model, not a curated record